RNAcentral lists this ribosomal RNA (255 nucleotides) under uncultured bacterium. RNAcentral describes it as "partial 16S ribosomal RNA". It matches the Rfam family "Bacterial small subunit ribosomal RNA", at positions 524 to 776 of the family's 1533-position model. The record is from RNAcentral.
UACGUAGGGUGCGAGCGUUGCCCGGAUUUAUUGGGCGUAAAGCGCGCGCAGGCGGCCUUGUAAGUCUGUUGUUUUAAACUUGGGGCUCAACCCCAAGUCGCAAUGGAAACUGCAAAGCUUGAGUGCAGAAGAGGGAAAGUGGAAUUCCACGUGUAGCGGUGAAAUGCGUAGAGAAUGUGGAGGAACACCAGUGGCGAAGGCGGCCUUCUGGCUCGUGUCUGACGCUGCAGCGCGAAAGCGUGGGGAGCGAACAGG